RNAcentral lists this ribosomal RNA (253 nucleotides) under uncultured bacterium. RNAcentral's name for it is "partial 16S ribosomal RNA". It matches the Rfam family "Bacterial small subunit ribosomal RNA", at positions 524 to 776 of the family's 1533-position model. The record is from RNAcentral.
UACAGAGGGGGCAAGCGUUAUUCGGAAUUAUUGGGCGUAAAGAGCUCGUAGGCGGUUUGUCGCGUCUGCUGUGAAAACUGGAGGCUCAACCUCCAGCCUGCAGUGGGUACGGGCAGACUAGAGUGCGGUAGGGGAGAUUGGAAUUCCUGGUGUAGCGGUGGAAUGCGCAGAUAUCAGGAGGAACACCGAUGGCGAAGGCAGAUCUCUGGGCCGUAACUGACGCUGAGGAGCGAAAGCAUGGGGAGCGAACAGG